GACGAACGCUGGCGGCGUGCUUAACACAUGCAAGUCGAACGGAAAGGCCCUGCUUUUGUGGGGUGCUCGAGUGGCGAACGGGUGAGUAACACGUGAGUAACCUGCCCUUGACUUUGUUAUAACUUCAGGAAACUGGGGCUAAUACCGGAUAUGAGCUCCUGCUGCAUGGUGGGGGUUGGAAAGUUUCGGCGGUUGGGGAUGGACUCGCGGCUUAUCAGCUUGUUUGUGGGGUAGUGGCUUACCAAGGCUUUGACGGGUAGCCGGCCUGAGAGGGUGACCGGCGAAAAGGGGACUGAGAUACGGACCAGAAGGGAACGGGAGGAAGCAGUGGGGAAUAUGGCACAAUGGGAGGAAGCAUGAUGAAGAAAAGCAGCGAGCGGGAUGAAGGGCGUCGGGGUGUAAAAAGAUUUAGAAUGAGAAGAAGAGUGAGUGACGGUAAUGGGUAAAGAAGCACCGGCUAACUACGUG
This 468-nucleotide ribosomal RNA is filed under the name uncultured bacterium. RNAcentral's name for it is "partial 16S ribosomal RNA". It matches the Rfam family "Bacterial small subunit ribosomal RNA", at positions 28 to 507 of the family's 1533-position model. The record is from RNAcentral.